Molecule: ribosomal RNA, 419 nt
Filed under: uncultured Lactobacillus sp.
Lineage: Bacteria; Bacillati; Bacillota; Bacilli; Lactobacillales; Lactobacillaceae
Description: bacterial SSU rRNA
Rfam family: Bacterial small subunit ribosomal RNA
Source: RNAcentral
GACGAACGCUGGCGGCGUGCCUAAUACAUGCAAGUCGAACGAGGAUUUCUUACACCGAGUGCUUGCACUCACCGUAAGAAAUUCGAGUGGCGGACGGGUGAGUAACACGUGGGUAACCUGCCCAAAAGAAGGGGAUAACAUUUGGAAACAAAUGCUAAUACCGUAUAACAACACUAGACGCAUGUCUAGAGUUUGAAAGAUGGUUCUGCUAUCACUCUUGGAUGGACCUGCGGUGCAUUAGCUAGUCGGUAAGGUAACGGCUUACCAAGGCAAUGAUGCAUAGCCGAGUUGAGAGACUGAUCGGCCACAUUGGGACUGAGACACGGCCCAAACUCCUACGGGAGGCAGCAGUAGGGAAUCUUCCACAAUGGAACGAAAGUCUGAUGGAGCAACGCCGCGUGAGUGAAGAAGGGUUUCGG